Non-coding RNA from Pilaira anomala, 74 nucleotides. NCBI's taxonomy places the organism in Eukaryota, Fungi, Mucoromycota, Mucoromycetes, Mucorales, Mucoraceae. The record is from the annotation of a GenBank genome assembly.
GGUUCCAUGGUCUAGUUGGUUAUGACAUGGCCUUUACACGGCCAUGGUCUCCGGUUCGAACCCGGAUGGAAUCA